AACGUUCCCAUACAGGAACAAGAAUUUCAACACCUCUCACUCUCUCUCUCUCUCACACACACACGCACACACACAGUGCUUUCCUCAAUUCAAUUUAUGAUUGAGGUUGAAUUACUAUCUCACGAACCUAGGUUUUGAUCCCAUAAUCUCAAAUACAUUUAUAUAGACUUUCUUUCCUACAAUUACAACUUUAUCCGUGUGUGCACUACACUACUAAAUUCAAUGUGAUGCAUUGACAUCAUAUACAUAGAUUUAUGCAUGAUGUCGACGAAUUAUAGUCCAUCCAGAAGUCCGGUGAACUCGAGAAUGCAGUUAGGCGGAGGCGGUGUAUCUAGGCUGAGAUCCUCGUAUAUAAGGAAGCCCCCGGAGCCGCUGCGCCGAGCAGUUGCCGAUUGUUUGUCGGCUGCCGCUUCGUCCCACCAGGCCACGCUGUCUACUGAAGCUUCCAGAAUUUUACGGGUUUGAAUUCUCGCCAUGCUUUUACUCAGUUUUGCCCGUGUAUUCAGAUCUUGUAACCUCUAUUGUAGUCGUAUAACCUAGGGUUUUGUUUAAAAUGCUAUGUAACACCCAACUGGUGUUAACAUCGGUGUACGCUAGCAUUAAAUGAUAUGAUAAGAUCAAUUCUAAUUUGGUGAUAUGAGACCCAUCUAAUUAAACCUACAUGCCACAUGGAUUGGUGUUAAACACAUCAGUUGGCUACAUAGAAUUGCUCUUUAGUUAAAGAUGGUGGCGGGGGUUGCAAUCUGGGAAUGCCAAUUGUUGAGCGAUUAUGAUUUUUAUACAAAAAACUCCGAUUUUGAUAUGAAAAGUGGGUUGCUUUUUUUUUUUUUUUUUUUAUUAUUAUUAUUAACGGAUAGAUUGAGUGGGAGUUAAAAUUUUUUGGUUAUUUGAUUCUCUAGACGGGUAUUCUGUAUUUUGGGAAUGCAAGUCAAUCAAGAUAUCAUAUUGAAUCUCGAAUGUGGUUCAUAGUUAUUAUGUAGUCUCUUGUUUCUAGCACUUGAUUCUGUUUAUUGUGGGGCUGUGUUUUCUAUUCAUGGUUGCUGGACACCCAUCUCUCGCCAGAAGGACAACAGAGAAAAUGAUAUAGUUCUUUUGAAUUUGAAACUGUAGUAAAUUGGCGCGCUAUGCUAUCUUUACAAAGUGGACAUUUAAUUUUUAAUGGAAGAAUGGUAACUGCAUUCAUACUUGAAUUUGAUUUAAAAGUUGAUUAUAACUAUCAUGGAAAAAUGUCUUUCCCCAUGUCCAUUUUAAAUAGAGUCUUAACACUUCAUUGAGAUUGAAUUCUUCAGUUCUAAUCCAUGAUAGGUGUCCUAUCAAUGUAUAUGACAUGUUGAUGCUUAUAAUUCAAAAGAGCAGCAUUCUAGUCACUCUCUCUCUCUCUCUCACACACACACAUGCAUUUUGGGGGGGGGAGGGAGGGAGAGAGGUUACCACAUUGGAUGAUUUACAUUGCUUUCUUAAUGGCAGGAUUAUCUGGCAAUGCAGUCAACAAUCGACUUGGCAUACAGUGUCAUUCUAGAUCACACACUUGCAGAGAGGGAAAGAAGGUAUGCAUACUGCAUGCCUUAAUACAAUCCAUCAUUAUACCAACACCAUUAUUGCUGUUAGAUAGAUGGUUACUUACCAGUAUCUUCUCUUUCACUCCAUAAUCACACUUUAAUUAUUUACAAUUCUUUUGCUGAUGUUUCCAAUUAUGCCUUAUUUGAUUUUACUGGUUUCUAUAAAGUUAACUUGGGAAAGUAAUUUUGAAAGGGGCACUAAGUUCCUUGCCUUGUGCCAACUCAUGCAUAUGGCUUUUUUGAGCUCUAAUUGACGCAAAUUUACAUUGCAUCUUGUUUCAUUUUAGUGAAAAGAUGUACGGAAGGCUUUGCUGAGAUAUACUUUUACACUAAAACAGUAAAGCUCAUUUUAUUCACACAAUUGCACCGUAGUUUUGACUUUUGAGAAACAUCGUAGAAUUUUUACUGGCUACGUAUGAAUUUCAAGAACAUUCACUCGUAUGAUAAUUAUGAAGUUGUACAUUAGACUCUGAAAAAUAUUAUUCUUUGCUGCAAAUAUUAUUUUCCUCAUUGUCAGAUUUUGUCCAUGGAGCAUGUUUGGCUAAGAUUAAAAGUUUACUUAUAAGUAAAUAAGUAAGUUUUAAAGAUAGACAAUUUUUGUAUUGUUUAGUGUAUGAUAAGUUACUUAUUUUGAUAGUAAGUUAAGAGUUACAUUAAAAUAAGUAUCUUGUUUUACUUAAAACUAAGUUAUCCAAAAGCAUUUGGAAACAAAAAGUUACUUGUAGUCAGAUUAGCUAACCACACUAUGUCUUACAUUGCAUUUAGCUUAUGUUUGAUCUCCAUUUUCUCCUAUAUGAUAAUUUUGCACGUAAGCUCAAUAUUUUUCCUAUUUUUUAACCACAGAUUCUUCGAAAAAUCACUAUUUCAAAACAUAUUCACCCCCCUCCCAAAAAAGAUGGGGGAGGGGGGCUUAAACAUGGCCCUAAUACCUAAAUACCCUUUUUUUGGCCUUGGAUUAAGUUUUGUUUGGUUAAUUCUUUUUGAGCAUUUGAGCUAUAUCCCUUGAAUAAUUUUGUAUAUAGUAUACAAUUGAACUUUAAUUUCCCUUUGUUUGAAUCAGUCCAGCGGUUGUAGCAAGGUGUGUGGCACUUUUGAAACGAUAUCUUUUAAGGUGCGUUCGUCCCAUAUUUAAGAUCAUUAUCUUCAUUUAACAUCUUGUGUAGACCAAUAGAGUACACGUGAUUUGAAAACAGUGCUUACGUUUUUAAUAAUUAUAGUGUGCUCAUUUGUACCAGUAUCAUCUGGUUAUUGUGACUUUUGACUCAAAUUCAGAGAUACAAUUGCGAAAUUUAAUAUCUGUAGAAUUUAAAAUUCGAUGAUCAUGGACCUGGACACAGUUUGGACUUGAAACUGGAUAUAUAGAUACGAAAACACAACCAUUCUUCAGAAAAGGACAGUUGUGACACAACAAUUACAUUAGAUAUAUAUGCAUGUGUAUCACUCUAUAUAUUAUGUGUAUGCCAAGAAAAAAAAUUCAAAAACAUAAAACUUCGCUUUAAAAUAUUUCUGAUUUUAAUUUCCUUAAACUGUGCAAUGUUCUACUUUCCCCUCUAUUUUCAACACCCAAAACUUUCAUGAGACCAGACAGAAUGGGUAGUUCCUUGUACCAGGUCCAACACCAAUCUCCUCAUCCAUUUCUUUUUGUAUUUUGACAUGCCAAGCUGUCUGAACAGCUGUUGACUGUGAUCAAUGCUGUCUCAACAUGACAGGCAUGUGUUGGGCAUUGUACAUGCUCAUUUUAAGAACAUCAGUGCUAUAGAGAACAUCGGUGCUAUAGAUAUAAAACUACUAGUCAUGGUCUGAUCUAUGCACAUGCUUAAUUUUAAAAUGUUUUAUAUUUUCUUAUCUGGGAAAUAUGAUUGAUUAGUAAAUAAAAAUUCCCAUCAAAUUGUGUCGCUACUCAUUAAAGAAAGUUCUAUUAGAUUUUCUAAUUUAGUGAGUUUUUCCUUUAGGUUUAAAUUACUCAAUUGUGGUGUUAUUGAGUUUAUUCAAAAUUAUAAUUAGAUAAAAGGUGAUAGCACAUCUCUUGGGAAGGGUAGGGAGAGAUGAGAUAGGAGAGAGAAUUGGGAUGUGAAGAAAGUGGAAUUAAAAUUUGCUGUAAGAGACAUACUGAAGAAAUAAAAUGACUUACUCGAAGUUCUUCCCCCUCAAUAUAAUAUUAUAGGUUACUGUUUGAGUGGGAAAGAUUCUUUCUAGUCAUUGAAUGGACAUGUAUAUAAUUGAAGCUAUCAUACAAACAAGUGUUUUGGCAACCUACAGUAGAUUCUAGAGUUGUACAGGGAAUGAUAACAUUGGAGUAAACCAAGUGAUUGCGGUGAUUCCAGUAAACACGAUCUUGAUAAUGGUGACAAGUGUUAUAGAGUUGCACAAAUUGACGUUCAAUUUUUGAAUCUGAUGUUGCCCGGGAAAAUAUGUAACGCCCCGAAUUCUGGCAACCCGAAACCUUACGAAACAUGAAUUUUACUAAAGUGCUUGAAGCAAAUAAAUUUUAAUAUAACAAGAAAUUCAGUAAAAUUGAACAACAUUUAAUAAAGAUAUUAAAUUUAAUAAAAAUAAGCGGAACGUUUUGGAAUCAUAUCAAUAAAAAUAGUUCUAACAAAUAUAAGAUAUGAUGUACUCACAAUUGAGUCUAAAUUUAAAAAUAAAAUAAUCAAAUGUUAUUAAAUAUUCUAGUGUUUCUAAAAAUUAAAGUACUUCAUGACGAAGAUCCAUUGGUCCAAUUGCUUAUCCAUCCACCGCCGUCCAGCAUACUAAUUUUUACUUGAAAAUUGUAAAUAAAGAGGGAUGAGUAUAACGAAUUAUACUCAAUUAGAUGCUUGCUACUCCACAUUCAAAUCAAACGUGAAAUUAUGCAUAAAUUCUCUUACCAACAUAACAUGAGAAUUAUCACACCAUGACAAAUGAUAAUUCAAGCAAGCGUUGCAAAAUAACGUGAAAGCUAAAUUGUGCCUUAAAAAAUGUAUCAUGAUUUCUCUCGAAGGAGUCCUGAAUUGAAGUAAUUAAAUUCAUACAUAACAACGUAUUUGAAAAGAUGUGGAAAAACCACUAAUAGCACUGAGCAUCCCACCUUACGUAACGAAUCUUGUAUUAUAAUAUGCACUUGGAAAGCAAAUUGUGGGAACUUGUUUGCUGAGAUUUUUCUCUUGGUUGCUUGUGAAAUUGAAUAAAAUAUAGUAAACUGCUGUGGGAAUAAAGCCUUAGUAAUAUAGAGGAAAAUUUAGAGAGGAAGAGAAUAAAGUAUGGUAGAAUGCUUUAGGUAUAAUCUCAUAUAUAUAGUAGACUAAAAUACGGGGCAGGGCCGUAGGGCAGUCACGCUAAGAUUGGAAUUCUAAAAUUUCCGUCCACUUUUCCCAGAAAUUGGUUUGGACUCCUAGACUCCUAUAUAAUUUGAUUGGAGAUUGACUAUUUGUUUUGAUAAGUUUCAAAUCCAAUACAAUUUUAAUAAGGAGACACAAUGACUGCAUAUCCUGUCAACACAUGGAAAAGUAAGGCAAAUUGAUCUCCUAAUUGCAUAUAUUAUACUUGUUUUAUUCUAACACAAACACACAACUUAAAUAAAUAACUAAUUAAUCUCCAAUAAAAAAAUAAUGGCAGAAUGUUACCAAUGCGUACAAAUUAGCUAGUUUAAUUAAUUAUAGUUCUAAUUAUUCUAAUCCUAAAAUUAUUAGAAAACCUUAUCAUAAAUCAAAUCCUACAAGAUUAAGGAUUCCUAAUUAGUUUAUGUUAUAAUUAAAAUAGAUUUGUAUUACAAAGUAACUAAUAUUUAUCACAAACAAUUAGCAUGACAAGUAAUGAAAAUUGACGUUCACUUACCUUAAUUAGCAAGGAUAUUCCCUUAAUUAUAAUUUUACAUCAACUUCUUUAGACGGCUAUAACUCGAGUUUAACUUAUCCAAUUUAACUUCUUCUCUGAGUCCAUAAUUCGUAAUUUAUUACGAGCUUCAAAAUGAGUCCAAUAUUGAUAUGGUAAUACUUGCUCCUCCAAUAGUUAACUAUUUGGCCCAUUUAAUAAAAGUAUAAAUUUUUAUAUUUAUUUUCACUUUGGUCCCUCAACUAUGAAGAUAUUCAUUUACAUCCAAAUUAACUAUAGAGAUAACAAAUUAAUUUGCAUAAGGACUUAUUUGAACAUUGCAUUUCUAUUAAAUGGCAAUUAUAUGCAAACCAAAAAUUUGGGAUUCUACAAAAUAGGUUCCAUAAAUGGACAUUGUAGUGCCUUUAAGUGUGUUAAACAGCGGACUGAAGUGGGGAUUUGCAGUAAUCUUUUUCGGUAUGGGCUUGAAGCAUAGUUUUAUGGUGAACUUCUGUCGGAAUGGUGUUUCUUUGACAUAUGCAGUACAAAGUUGGAGGGUCUUUUUCCUCUAUUGGUUUGUCAUUUAUAAGGUUUUGAGGAUUAGUAAAGCUGUUCUGAUGUAGUCACUCGUUACUGAUUCAUUACAUCUUCAAUUUCUUUCUGAGAAAUAGAUUCUUUUUAUGAAAAACAACUGCUGCAUGGACUAGUUACCUCAUUAAGAGACUGAAAGGUAAAUAGGCCAAUUUGAAGGAAAAGAUUUUCCAUGUCUAGAUCAAUAUUUAAAUGAGAGUUCUAGAAAGUCUCAUGUAAUGCUUUAGGCUCUAGAAUAAGUUCAAUCUUAGGCAAGGGAAUGUUUCACAAAGAGUUACCACUGCUUAUGGGCUCCAGAAAAGUUCAACUUUACACUCUUGAAUUUAAUUUCGUUAAUGAACUCAUUGCCAACUCCGUUUUAAUUGCAGAUAUAAACCCAGUGAGGAAACUUUGCUACAGAUUGAUCGAUUUUGUGUAAGCAUAAUUGCUGAGUGCGAUGUGAGCAUUAACCGUAAAGUGGCUCCGUGGACACGUUCUUUGAGUCAACAAUCUGGGAUGCCAACACCCUCUACAAGUGUAUCUCCUUUUCCCGUGUCAAGUUUUGCAUCUGGAGCACUUGUGAAAUCCUUAAAUUAUGUUCGUUCUCUAGUGGCUCAGUACAUACCAAAGCGGUCAUUUCAAUCAGCAGUUUUUGCUGGAGCCCCUCCUGCAUCAAGGCAAUCACUUCCAACAUUGUCUUCUAUAUUAAGCAGAUCAUUCAAUUCACAAUUUAGCCCUGUAAAUAGCAAGGAUGCUCUGGAGAGCAAAGAGACAUCUAUUACAUCUGUUUCAGACUCUCCAGUUGCUGAAGAAGAUGAUGAAAAGGAAGAUCAUGAGUUCAUAGCUCUUGAUGUUUUCAGAUGGCGCUGGUUUGGAGACCAGAAAUUGUCAACUAUCUUGCCUAAAAGGUAUUAUUUUCGUCUGUUAGACAUCUUCUGUUAUUCACCCAAUUGCGUUAAUUGAUUCAGUGUGUCCAUUCUUUCUAAAAUACUCACUUACAGCGAGCACAUUCUGAAUCCCCAAGAUCUACGCACUCAUAAUUUCCUAGAAGUAGGUGCAGCAGCUCUUCUUGUAGGGGAUAUGGACCCCAAAAUGAAGGGUGAAGCUUGGAAACUUUUUGGGAGUGCAGAUAUGCCUUAUCUUGAUCAGCUACUGCAGCCAUCAUUGCUCACAACCGUUACCAAAUCUGCGUCCGCUCGUGCUCAUUUAAGAGCAAUAACAGCACUGAAACGGUCUAAACCAGGGCCCAAUCAAAUUUGGUACAUCCCUCUUGCUUAAUUAUUUUUACACAAGUUUGUGGUUUGCCUGUCUCUGUUAGUUUUAUUAUGUCUUAUUUCUAUGGUUAUAUUUUCUCUAUUGUUAUCAAAGUGUCAUAAUAAUUUUGUCAAAAAAGCAAAAUAUGAACGACUUAAUCCAUAUGACUUUCAACUACAAAGAAAAUACUUCUACUCUGUUGAAUGCGUGUCAUGCUUAUUAGGAUUGAGCCUGUCGAAUCUCAUGUCAAUCAAUUACUUUUGGUGUGCACUAGAUUUUGAGCUUUUGUUACGUUACCUAAAAAUCUGUAUUUUUUAGCUGGAUCAAGAUAUUGGGAAAUGUCAGGUGCUUGUUGGUUUGACUCCAAUGUGUUUAUAUGUUUGUAUGGUAAUGAAAUGGAAUCAAGUGUGAUAUAUUGCUGUAAAUUGAAUGGUAUAAUGUUCAAUGUAAACUAUGAAAUUGUUAUCCUCAAACGAAAAGCAGUUACAGGCAAAUGGCCAGCUUCUGAGGAUCCUUCAAUUUCACCCUAGUUUCUGCCCGAAUGAAAAUAGAACUCCUUCCUAUUUAUGAUGAGUUCAUACCACACUUAUUUGGCAGUCUACCCAGAAUACCCUAACCCCUUAACAACCUAAUUAUUAAACCAUGACAAGAACUUGUGGGUGCCUAACACAUGCUUGGUAUACUGUGCUAGACAGGCCUGCACACUAAAAUGAACAAAAAUUUAGUUUUCUUUUGUUCCUUAAUUCUGUGCCAUCCUUCUCAAAACAAUCCAUCAGUAAUCGUUUUUUUUUUUUUUUUUUGGGUUGGGUCAACUACAGAAUCUAACAGAGAUUUGGUGGAAAAACGAAACAUAGCUGUAACCUCAUUCAAUCUUAUUUAUUAACUUACGAAAACAUUGUUCUGAGAUUCACCAACAUUGCAGAUUGAAAAUAAUUUAAUUGGGGUACAAAUAAUGUUUAAAAUUCAAGAGUCGUUUGAGAUUUUCCUGGACUGAAAUCAAUUUAUUGCUUUUGGCGUUGUAUUCAAGGUUAGGGCGGGGUAAAACCCAACCCAAACCGCUCAACCCGAUCAAAUGGGUUGGGUUGAAAAAUUAUACUUGAAGUUGUAUUUCGGGUUAUAAUUUAAAACCCAAGCCGAUGAAUUAAGAAAAUUAAUAUCUAAGAUGAAAAAAAACUAAAUAACACAAUAGUAAAGAUAUGAGAUUUAUAAAUGUCCAUUUUCUUUACAUAGAUUGAUUCACAUGAAUACUAUGUGAUGAAAUGAAUAAAUCCCAAAAAAUUGUAAAAAAAGAAGAAAGGAAAAGAAAAGAAAAGAAAAAAUACUUCAUUUGCAAGAAAAAAAAUAAUCUUGAACAACACAACACAGUUGAUGACUUACCUAUAGUAUUGUCAUCUCAGUCAAACAUUUUAUCUACUCUGGAGUUUUUACCUCAUUUGCAUGAUACUCUACAGGUUGCCACAUUGUCUUUCAUGGCCAUUAUUCGAUUGCAUGCUUUUCCCAUAGACAUUAGGAUGUUGCCUACUAAUUAUCGACAUAUUGGUUUAGCUCAUCCUUUUUUUGUCAAUGUUCCUAAAUUUUAUACUAAGAUAAAAAGGUACAUCAUUUUUAAUAAUGAAAUUUUUGAAUUUACUUUUGAUAUGCAAUGUAGACUAGGAGACCCUAAUGAUUAUUAUUCUUUAUUACAUGUCUCAUUGUCUCAAUUUCCUAAAUACGUUCAAAUAAGAGUUUUGGAACAUCCAUAUAGAGAUUUUCUAUUCGAUCGGCCAUCACACUUAAAUAAGAGUUAUAUUUUCAAUAUAGAAGAAUUGUUUCCUUGUUGGGGCUCAUUCGAGCCUUCGAUGUUGCAUACAUUUUUUUCUGCAGGCCAGUGUGCAGUGGUAGUUUCUUGUGCUUCUCAAUAUGUACAACCAAUUGAUGAUUUUGAGAAUGAGUUGCAUGAGUUUUUGCUUUUUGGAAUUCCAUGUCGAUACUUGGUUAAAAUAAGAGAUUGUCCCCCUUGGUUAGAUUAUUCUUGGGGAUGAAUUGCAAUUUCAAUUGUCACAUGAUCGGUUUCGUUCUUUGAUUCAUAAGAAGGAUAGCCAUCCUUGGUUUGAGUUUACUCGAUUAACGUUGUCCAAGAUUCAAUACAGGAAUUUGGUCAAGACAAAAAGAUAAGUCUCGUUGGAGUAUGAAGUUCGAGUCUACCUCGCCGGAGUUGAGUUCUCUCAAUCGGAGAGAAAUGACGCAAUACUAUAGAGAUAAAUUAUUUAUUUAGUUUCCUAUUUUAAUUCAUAUUUCAGAGUGUGAUUUAAUUCACUUUUGUGAAAUUUCUUUACUUAUUUAUGAUUUUUGAAACCCUAUAUAAAAGGGAUUAUAGCGAUAUAAUAAAACUUUAUUAUAUGAAUUAAAUUGAUUUCUCUCCCCAACUUCCAUCUUCUCUUCCCCUCUUCUUCUCUCUUUUACACCUUGUCCUAUAAUUCUUCCUCUUUAUUACUACGUCAAUAACCAAAUUGGAAGGUUUAAAAAAAAAUAAAAAAAUAAUAAUAAUAAUUCUGAAGAGCUGCCAGAAUCUAGUGUAAUUAAGGGAGCUAUUGAGGUGAAAUUUUAGUUGUUGAUGAAUAGUGUAGGCAUGCAAAUAUAGAUCUCUAUUAUUCAAAUUAAGACCCGCUGAUUUGGUUUUGGUGCUCUCAUCAACAUCCAAUACUUUCUGCUUUUGCAUGAGUCGCACAAACAGAAAAGAAAAAUAAAAUUUUUUGGUGUUCUGUUCCAUCCUGCAGGCUUCUGUUUUUGGCAAUUUUUAUUUUUAUGUUCUAUUAUCAACAACAUAAUUAUCAAGUUUUCCAAUUGCUGAGACUGUAUAUUCAUCUAUCUGAUGGAACUAAAGUUGAAUACUGUAAGAUCUUGUUCAACCAUAUGUCAAGUUUGUGCAACAUAAUAUUAUACUUGAAUUUUGUCAGACUUCAAUAUUGAUCUGUGGUCAUCCUUUCUUGUUUCACAGGGAAGAUUCUCCUUUGAGCAACUUUCGUCCCCGCGUGAAACCACUGUUCCAAUAUCGUCAUUAUAGGUAAAGAAUUACGGUUUUUUUAUUAUUUUUAUUUUUUAAAAAGAGCCUGCUGUCAUCAAUUGUUUGUGAAUGUCUCUACGAUGCAACAGCAAUAGCAAUGAGAAUAUGUGGUUUUUCCCAAUACUUGGGGUCAACUUCAUGAAUCUUUUUCGGUUGGUCCAUUUGAUCCAAAGUUACCUUUUUUGACUUACGUCAAAUGAUGAAUUCCUUUUGUAAAUGUAUCUAACAGAGUUUUAUUGCUCUUGUGAAUGCAAUUUUUUUUUUCCUGAGCAAGAUAUGCCACAAUCAUCUACAUUAUUUCUUAAUAUAUCCUCAGUUAUCUUCUUUUAUGCAUUCUAGUGUCACGGCGGAUCCUUCUUAAGAUCAUUACUUUUGUAAUGUUCAUCUUAAGAACAUUUGGUAGCCCAACACUUGCUACAAUUGAAGGUAGUUAACCUAAUAGCUGUACAACCUGAAGUGCAUAACUUCUAUUUUCACCCUUUUCAGUUUUCUUAAAAUUAUCCUAUGCAUUUCAUUCUAUUCAAAUCUUCGUUCUUUAUUUAUAAUCAAGCAUAAGCAUCUAAAACAAUCAUCUUCUGUGACACCGUGAUCCUUUUCUUAAGUUUCCUAUUCAUCCUUAUUAAUAGUGUAACAAAAGGACAUUACAUAUAUUCUGACAUAAUUUUACUUAACCCAAAACCCACCAUGAUUCCGUCAAUCAAAUUUAUUGACAAGUAUCAGUGAUGAGUAUGUUUUGAUAUUACUUCUUGUGGUAACUAUGUUUCAUCUAUAUAACAAAUUUACAUUAAUUUAGAUACUGUUCCUAUAUAUUGUGAUUUAUAACCACUGCAAACUAUUUUCAUUUUAUAGUCAGCAAUUAGAAUUUAAAAGAACCGAAGUAUGAAAAAACAUAUCUGUAGACACUUGCAACUUUUUUUCUUAAGAUAAUGCUUAGGUCUAUUGGUGUACUGCAUGCAUAUGCGUAUACAUGCACUCUGUGUACUUUUUAUGUAUCUGUGGAUGUGUUGGUUUUAAUUGCUUUCUAUCUAACUUUGCAUACAUCAGUGAGCAACAACCCUUGCGAUUGAAUGCUGAGGAGAUAUGUGAGGUUAUCGCAGCAGUGUGCACGGAAACUCCUUCGACAAAUUCUAAUCUCACAACAAUCUCGUCUAAGUUAAGCAACAAUGGAAGGCCAUCUCUUGACGUGGCUGUGAGCGUUCUUGUCAAACUUAUAAUUGACAUGUAUGUUCUGAUGCAUUUUGUUUAUACUAUAAGACUUCAUUGAACUUUGUCUUUCUCCAUUUAUCAAUGAGUAGUGACACUUCAUGGUAUAUAUUUAUGGAAAGGAGACACUAUCAUUAUCCAGUACAGAAGUUAGAUCCUUUCUGUACCCUUUCUGGGUGUCUCGUUCAAAUUGCGUUCGAUGUUGUCGUCAACAGGACGUAUCUGAUCUUCAAUAACUUUCUUGGUUUAAAGUCUCUAUUUGUUCAUUGCCACAUAAUAUGAUUCAAAUUCUCCAUGCUCUCGUAUAAUAAGUCAAAUUUUGACUUCUGCUAAGUAAAGGAAAAUAAAUUUAUGCUCUUCAUCUAUUAUGCUAUUUCUUGACUGCAGACAAUUCUAACACCCCCCCCCCCCCCCCCCGGAUCUUGUUUUCCUGCUGAUCUUUUCUAAUUCCUUUUUGUAGGUACGUUUUGGAUUCUGUGACUGCUGCUCCUCUAACUUUAUCGAUACUCGAGGUGCUGCAUACUUUGCACUUGUUUUUUGCAACUCGUAGUUAUAGCUAAUUAUUUGCACACAAAUUAUUGUAGGAUAUGCUAAAUUCUCCAAAAGUGAUGUCAAGGGCUCAAGCUUUUGAUUUAAUUUUGAACCUCGGAGUUCACGCACAUUUAUUGGAGCCUCCAGCACCUGAUGACACCUCUGGAAUUGAAGAAGAGUAUUUGCACGAACCAUAUUUCGAAAAUGAAACUCAACUUUCUUCGCAAGGAAAGAGAAUAUUAGACAAUUUUAAGAAAAUGGGGAAUUCUUCAGCUAUUGAUAAGUUUGAGAAUUGGAUUCUGGGCAUUCUCUAUGAGGUUCUUCUUCAUCUUGUUCAGGUAUAUGUGAUAUUUAUUUAUGGCAUGGCAGAAUUUUACAGUAAUUUGGCACCCUUUUUUUUUUUUAAUAACCCUUUGGUGAUGGGGAAGGGGCUUAAUUUACUUGUACAUAUUUGAAUCAAACAUAAAGGGCUGCAUCCAUACAAACUUAAUGCUUAUCGCUGUGUUUCAGCUGACAGAAAAUAUUCAUGGGGAUAUUAUGAACUUGUACACACAAUAAUACUCAUUUUUAGUCAAUGAAAUGAAUAUUUCAUUAAAAUUUCUAAUGACACUCAUGUCAGCUUCAAUUCUAUAAAAUAAUUAAUAUGCGUCUCUCGGAAUUGAAACUCAAAAAGACACUUGGAUAAUUUCAUAUAAUAAAAUAGAAGUUUGAAAUUUGAAUUCAGGAAAUAUCUAUGAGGUUGUUAACUGCACAAGAGAAGUGAGGAAGUAAAGAAGACACGAAAUUUGUUGGGUUUUUAACAAAAGAGAAGAACUCUAGUUAGAUUUAGGCUCAACUGUUGAUCAUUAAUAAACAGAUGAAAGACUGAUUGGAUUUUUGUAUUGAAUGACAAAUAUGACACCAUCGCUUUUUUUUUUUUUUUUUUUUUAAUUGAUGUUAUCUAUUUACCUAGGUUAUGAUUCCAAGAAUGGACCAAACAAGUCAACAUUCAUUUUCUUUUAUAGACAAUCAAUAUUUCUUGUAAAUCCUCCAUUUCUCCUACAACCAGGCAUGUGUAUCAACUCUAUUCAUUUUUCAAUCCCAUGCUCAAGCAUCCCAAUUGCUUCAUAUUUUGUGCUCUCUCUGUAUGUGUGAUAUAAUGGUACACAUGUUAAAACGGAUGUCUAGAUGGUACCACAUAGCUGCUAUAUUAGUCUAGAAUUUUAUCUGAUUGGUUGUAGUAAACUUCUAAUUUCUGCAUUUGUUUGAUUCAUAUUUAUAGGUUGUGCUGCACGUUUCAUGUAUUGUCGUUGUCUAAUACAUGCUUAUUUCUCAGAUUGAAGAGAAGGAAGAAUCUGUCUGGGCUUCAGGUUUAAGUUGUUUACUCUAUUUUGUUUGUGAUAGAGGGAACAUUCGAAGAAGCAGAUUACAAGGUCUUGAUAUUAGAGUGAGUAUUUUUACGCAUUGUUUUGAUAUCAUCUGUGAGCAGAUAAGGUUUAUAUGCAAUUCAAUUUUGGAAUCAUUGUACUACAGACUAUAUUAAGUGGGAGUAUUCUGCGUUAUGAGAAGGGGAAAGCUCUCUUAGUUACAUCUCACGUAGAACUUGUUUAAAUUCUGGAUGGGAUGUUUUGAUAUGAAAGGAAAGUGUUUGGAGAACAGAAUGACUAGCAAAAGGGAAUGGCUUCCUCCCACCUUAAUAAUAUCUUAGGUUAUUGACAAAUUGGUGAAUGCUGAAAUUCCUUGUGAGAAGGCAAAAAGGGAAGGGGGAACUUUCAGUUACUUGAAAUCUUUACAUUCUCUUGUUAAAUAAAAUUACCAUUAAACUAAAGAUCUUUCAGUAUUAUCAAAUUCUGAGUUGAUCAAUGGCGAUAUCAUAGAAAUUGAAUUGUUAGGAUGAGAAAGUUCCUCACGUUAGUUUUCUAAACCUCGUAAAAGAUCAGAUAUUUCUUGAAAAUACUCUAUAUUGAUUGAAUGAAAGGGAUUCAUACAGUUAGUUGCAGAUGAGUUGGCAAAAGCAACCUGAAUGGUUUUCCUGGCUUCUGGUUAGAAAACCUUAAAAUUUAAUGAAGUGUUGGUUAUCUGAUGAUGAAAUCUGCAAGGAUUAUUCCUUUCAAAGCCUUCAAAUUACCAAACGCAAAGAGAGGAUGUCAUUUGUCUGUAAUCUUCUACUACUGGGUGUCUGUUAAUUGAAAGAAAAGGAUGGUCACUGACUUACCGGUAGUUUAUUUUUUAACGAUUAUUAUGGACUUACAGACAAUUGAUAAUUUUGUGUUUUAACCAAUGGAACCAUAACCUGAAAGAAUAAAAUGUUAAGAGUGGUUUACCAUUCGUCUAUGGUACUGGAAGCUUGGCACAUGAUGGCUUCAUUGGUGGUUAAAUAGGCAGAUUUUCAGCAUCUCACCCAAACAUGAAAUGAGAUGGAAUUCCUCUUCGUUAGCCAACCAAAGCAUCUUUAACGAAUGUUUUUUCCUCAAUAUUCAAUAAAUUUUGAUGUGCAUGGCCAAUAAAUUUUAUUUUGUGUUUUCUACUCCUACCUUUUACUAUUCCAAUAUUGACUACAUCUACUCUUACUUUACUCACAGGUUAUUAAGGUACUCAUACGGAUUAGUAGAAGAAACUCUUGGGCAGAAAUCGUUCAUUGCAAGCUUAUUUGCAUGAUGACAAACAUGUUUUAUCAAGUUCCUGAAGGGCCUGAUAAAGUUGUUUCAGCUACUCCAAUCUUUCUUGUUCAGCAGUUUGAUCUGAUUGGAGGGAAUGAGUUUAUAUUUGAAGAGGUAAUAUGCGGAGCAUCUUUUUAAGAGAGUUCAUAUGCUGCAUUAUGAAUGAACUAAAAUAUGUUGAAGGGAAUUUUGCGUAUUCAAAUAUU
Molecule: long non-coding RNA, 14794 nt
Filed under: Olea europaea subsp. europaea
Lineage: Eukaryota; Viridiplantae; Streptophyta; Magnoliopsida; Lamiales; Oleaceae
Source: RNAcentral